UUUACAUCCUGUUGGCACCACUGUCGUGUAAAAUGAGAACCAUAGUCCUGUUGUGUCCAAAUUCAUAAGAUAUUUCUUUUAAAGAAGUGAUUAUAAAAUAUAUAAUUAAUUAAUCUUCCUAUUAAAAAAAUCUAAUCAGUUUGUACAGAAACAGUAAUCAGUUUACAGAUUCUACUUUUGCAUUACCUUGUUUAAAUAUAUAAAAUCUUAUAUAUUAAGAACCAUCACAGCUUCCCACAUGAAAUAAAAUAAAAAAUCUACCUCCAAUAAGAUGGCUGAACAAAGUUUCAAGAAAAAUAAAUGAGUUUAAGACACUAUAUGAUUUGCUGAAUAUCAAGAUGGUGGUUGUCGAAAUAAAGGAGGCUAAGCAACCACACAUAUAUAAUAUUUAUUAUGGAUUUAAAAGAAUACAGAUCACAUUCUAGUACCAUAAAAGAGUAAUAUGCAAACCACUAGUUUAUUACCACAAAAGGAAAAAGAACAUUUUAAGAGAACAACAAAAAUGUGAUAAGAGAACAACAGUUUUCCACCAGAUUCAUACCACAAUGAGAUUUUGCAGUUGAUGCAAACCAAAAUCAAUGUGUUUUUCCAAAUAAAAGAAAAACUUCCUUAAUUAAGGAAAUCAAACCCUGAAAUCUAUUAGUGUAUGAGUGAGAAUAUAGAAAAGAAUGUUAGGUGAAAUAUUAGACCCUUUAUAGCUACCAAAUAAACAUCAAAAUCCAACCUACAAACUAAAACAAAUAGCAAGAAAAAAAGCACCAACUGAAACACAAAUAGAUCCAAAGAAAAAAAAAAUACCCAGAAACAUUUUCACAAUGAUAACAACUUUAUGAAUCAAGAUUAUAACUUUAAGCAUACAGAGCUUUGUGUAAUCAAUCUAAGACUCUCACCGGAGAUUCUGAGAAAAUGGGUCUUGUUUGAUUGGUCAGAAAUCUCAAUAUAUAUAUUUAGUUGAAAAAUUGGAGGAAAAGAAUGAAAUGGAGUAUAUAUGUGGAGAGUGUCAACAAUAAAAUAGAGAAAUGAAAAUAAAAUGGGUCGGUUUAGAUUUAGCAGAUAAACACGCCUGUGAAGGAGGAGAGAGGUUUUUUGUCUUUCUUUGUUUCUGUUCUUUCGAUAUGAACGAAAAGGACAGGCAAAAGAAUGAAACGGAUGGAUAGGCGGGUUUUCAAUAAAAACUGAUAGUAGAGAGAGGAAAAGAGGGGAAGAAAUUGAAGGGAUG
Molecule: long non-coding RNA, 1219 nt
Filed under: Panax ginseng (ginseng)
Lineage: Eukaryota; Viridiplantae; Streptophyta; Magnoliopsida; Apiales; Araliaceae
Description: long non-coding RNA (PGIN_LNC001127)
Source: RNAcentral